AACGCUAGCUACAGGCUUAACACAUGCAAGUCGAGGGGCAUCAGGGUAGCAAUACCGCUGGCGACCGGCGCACGGGUGAGUAACACGUAUCCAACCUACCGUUAACUCGGGGAUAGCCUUUCGAAAGAAAGAUUAAUACCCGAUAGUAUAUUUUCUUCGCAUGUUGAAAAUAUUAAAGAAUUUCGGUUAUCGAUGGGGAUGCGUUCCAUUAGGCAGUUGGCGGGGUAACGGCCCACCAAACCUACGAUGGAUAGGGGUUCUGAGAGGAAGGUCCCCCACAUUGGAACUGAGACACGGUCCAAACUCCUACGGGAGGCAGCAGUGAGGAAUAUUGGUCAAUGGACGAAGGUCUGAACCAGCCAAGUAGCGUGAAGGAUGACUGCCCUAUGGGUUGUAAACUUCUUUUAUAUGGGAAUAAAGUUCUCCGCGUGUGGAGUUUUGUAUGUACCAUUAUGAAUAAGCAUCGGCUAACUCCGUGCCAGCAGCCGCGGUAAUACGGAGGAUGCGAGCGUUAUCCGGAUUUAUUGGGUUUAAAGGGAGCGUAGGUGGACUGGUAAGUCAGUUGUGAAAGUUUGCGGCUCAACCGUAAAAUUGCAGUUGAUACUGUCAGUCUUGAGUACAGUAGAGGUGGGCGGAAUUCGUGGUGUAGCGGUGAAAUGCUUAGAUAUCACGAAGAACUCCGAUUG
This 686-nucleotide ribosomal RNA is filed under the name uncultured bacterium. Its description in RNAcentral is "bacterial SSU rRNA". It matches the Rfam family "Bacterial small subunit ribosomal RNA", at positions 32 to 715 of the family's 1533-position model. The record is from RNAcentral.